AGCGAGAAGAGUUCCCUCAUUUAUCAGAAGAAGAACAGAGUAGAACUGAAGUUGGAAGAAUCCAUGGAACCCGUCCGGCAAGGGACGAGAUGAACAAAGAUCAAACGCACGCUCCCCUCGAUGUUCGGUUACAGUCAGUUGUCAAAGAACUCUUAUUCUUCUGACGGAGUCAGAUGUUGGAGGAUGAUUACGAGCUUCCGUUCGGUUUGAAGGUUUUCAGUGACGAGCGAGAAGGAACUUUGGAGAUCGACGAACUCAAAUCCAGGGUUGCAAAGCUGCUUCUUUAGGAUGCGACGAUCAGGGGGCAAGCGAAGGCCAUCAAAAAACUGAGAGAGAAAGAUGCUGCGAUGGAGAAGAAACUCGCCGAGCUUGCAAGGACAGUAGUCCAACUGAAGAAGCCUGAGAAAAUAUUUUAUGAAUAUUUCCAUUCUUCUACUGUUCUAUUUGGUGAAGAAUUUAAUCUGAUGGAUCUAAUUCUGUUAUUUUCUGUGUCAAUCUUGCAGAGGAAACCACUCUCCUCCACGAAUGCGGUUCACAGAUGAUCGACCAAUUCUUCAUUGUUUUGGUUUUCCUAAUGGGCCUUCUGACCGGUAUGCUACUGUGUGAAUGACAAAGAUCAUCGAUGAAGAUCCCAAGGCCUGGAAAGACCUUAUACACUUUCAAAGUUAGUUCGCAGCUAUCAUAUUUAGGAUAAUCCUUAUGCAAAUUACUCCUUUCGAAUUGGGAAUUAUUUUGUCCAAUGUA
Non-coding RNA from Punica granatum (pomegranate), 744 nucleotides. Lineage: Eukaryota; Viridiplantae; Streptophyta; Magnoliopsida; Myrtales; Lythraceae. The record is from RefSeq and is a predicted model, not a curated record.